Molecule: ribosomal RNA, 522 nt
Filed under: uncultured bacterium
Lineage: Bacteria
Description: bacterial SSU rRNA
Rfam family: Bacterial small subunit ribosomal RNA
Source: RNAcentral
CCAGAGAAUUUAGCAGAGAUGCUUUAGUGCCUUCGGGAACUCUGAGACAGGUGCUGCAUGGCUGUCGUCAGCUCGUGUUGUGAAAUGUUCGGGUUAAGUCCCGCAACGAGCGCAACCCCUAUCCUUUGUUGCCAGCGAUUCGGUCGGGAACUCAAAGGAGACUGCCGGUGAUAAACCGGAGGAAGGUGGGGAUGACGUCAAGUCAUCAUGGCCCUUACGAGUAGGGCUACACACGUGCUACAAUGGCGCAUACAAAGAGAAGCGACCUCGCGAGAGCAAGCGGACCUCAUAAAGUGCGUCGUAGUCCGGAUUGGAGUCUGCAACUCGACUCCAUGAAGUCGGAAUCGCUAGUAAUCGUAGAUCAGAAUGCUACGGUGAAUACGUUCCCGGGCCUUGUACACACCGCCCGUCACACCAUGGGAGUGGGUUGCAAAAGAAGUAGAUAGCUUAACCUUCGGGAGGGCGUUUACCACUUUGUGAUUCAUGACUGGGGUGAAGUCGUAACAAGGUAAGCGUAGCGAG